AACGAACGCUGGCGGCAUGCCUAACACAUGCCAGUCGAACGAGACCUUCGGGUCUAGUGGCGCACGGGUGCGUAACGCGUGGGAACCUGCCCUUAGGUUCGGAAUAACUCCCCGAAAGGGGUGCUAAUACCGGAUAAUGUCUUCGGACCAAAGAUUUAUCGCCUUUGGAUGGGCCCGCGUUGGAUUAGCUAGUUGGUAGGGUAAAAGCCUACCAAGGCGACGAUCCAUAGCUGGUAUGAGAGGAUGAUCAGCCACACUGGGACUGAGACACGGCCCAGACUCCUACGGGAGGCAGCAGUGGGGAAUAUUGGACAAUGGGCGAAAGCCUGAUCCAGCAAUGCCGCGUGAGUGAUGAAGGCCUUAGGGUUGUAAAGCUCUUUUACCCGGGAUGAUAAUGACAGUACCGGGAGAAUAAGCUCCGGCUAACUCCGUG
Molecule: ribosomal RNA, 433 nt
Filed under: uncultured bacterium
Lineage: Bacteria
Description: partial 16S ribosomal RNA
Rfam family: Bacterial small subunit ribosomal RNA
Source: RNAcentral